GACGAACGCUGGCGGCGUGCUUAACACAUGCAAGUCGAACGGAAAGGCCCUGCUUUUGUGGGGUGCUCGAGUGGCGAACGGGUGAGUAACACGUGAGUAACCUGCCCUUGACUUUGGGAUAACUUCAGGAAACUGGGGCUAAUACCGGAUAGGAGCUCCUGCUGCAUGGUGGGGGUUGGAAAGUUUCGGCGGUUGGGGAUGGACUCGCGGCUUAUCAGCUUGUUGGUGGGGUAGUGGCUUACCAAGGCUUUGACGGGUAGCCGGCCUGAGAGGGUGACCGGCGACAUGGGGACUGAGAUACGGACCAGACUGCUACGGGAGGCAGCAGUGGGGAGUAUUACACAAUGGGCGGAAGCCUGAUGCAGAAACGCCGCGUGCGGGAUGACGGCCUUCGGGUUGUAAACCGCUUUCGCCUGUGACGAAGCGUGAGUGACGGUAAUGGGUAAAGAAGCACCAGCUAACUACGUG
RNAcentral lists this ribosomal RNA (468 nucleotides) under uncultured bacterium. Its description in RNAcentral is "partial 16S ribosomal RNA". It matches the Rfam family "Bacterial small subunit ribosomal RNA", at positions 28 to 507 of the family's 1533-position model. The record is from RNAcentral.